CGCACUCAAGUGAGGAAUGGGGAAGGAGGGUGGAGGAAGGAGCUUGUAAAUGAGCAGCUGGUUUGCAGCAAAACCGCACCUCACUCUGCACCUUUGGAUCCCUCUCAGCCUGAGGUUAGCACAGCCAAUGUCCUCACCAGCGUCUGCCAAAGCCCAUGGAGAAGGCCAGCAGGAGCAUAUCACUGUGACUUACAACCCUUCUCUAGUCUGCUACAAUGGAAUCUUAAACAAGAAAAUUUUAUAUUUUGACUUGCAUCAUUGAGAAAAACACUGCCAACCUGAUCGUGGUUCCUUUGAAGAAUCACUGCAGCAGGUGCGAGAGAGGACUCAUGGAGCUUGCAGAUGAGCUAGCCCAGGUAGGACAUCUGAUGUUGGGACCCUCUUCAGAAGUGAAGCAUAUAUAAUCCCACAUGAAAUCUCUCAAGCCAUUCCAGAAGAAUGUUUUCUCAGAUAAAGGUUAUUUACCUAUUUAUAAUAAUUUAUAAUUUACAAAGCAUAUUCAUAUAUAUGAUCCCAUCUAACUCAUAAAAUUAUAUGAAAUGUAUACUAUCUCCAUUUUACAGAUGGGGAAAUUGAGCCUCAGAGUGAUAAAGUAACUUCCCCAAAGUCAUGUAGCUAGUAAAUGAAAGUGAUGAGACUCACACUAGGUUCUUCUAAGUUUUUAGAGUACUUCGUCCACGGCGCCAAGGUGUCUAGGGCAGAGACACCACAACCUCCUAAGGUAGGUUAUGCCAUUAAUGUUCCACUUGGGUGGGAAUACACACACACCCACACACACACUAUAAUUCACACUUCCUUAUAGUUAUAUUCCUCAUUCUUUGAACUUAAUCCAUGGUAAAGAAUUAUUUAUUAUGGUGGGGUAGAAGGAGACCCUUUGAGAUUUGAAGACACUGAUUAACCAUGUUAGUGUUUUUCCUCAGGCAAAAUAUUCAUGGGCUCUUUUACCAUAACUUGCUGUCCUUAUUUCCUCAUUAAAUUUCAAGUUUCCACAAAAUAAGAAAAGAAACAACUAAAGAAGAAAUUGUUGGAAGGCAUGGAGCAAAGUGUAAGAACAACUAAGUAAACAUGUACAUUUUGCAUUUUUAAAAAAUUCAGUGGCCAUAAUACCACUGGCCAACAGGCUGAUCAAAUAAUCCCUGAAACAAAGAGUUAUAUGUUACGGAGGGGAUUGAAUCAGAAUACAGAAAAGAGAGACUUGAGAGGUUAAGACAAAACAUCCUGGGAAAUACACCUAUUAAAAUAUGGUAACUAGCUGUUCUCCAUUUCUUUCAAGACAGAAUGGGAAAUGGAGGUAAACACAGCAAGAGUAUUAGUCGGUUAGACAACAGGAAUAUUUUGCUGAUUUUUGUUGUUGUUGUUUUGUUUUUGUUUUUGUUUUUGAGACAGUGUCUUGCUGCGACACCCA
This 1405-nucleotide long non-coding RNA is filed under the name Homo sapiens (human). RNAcentral describes it as "HSALNT0367958". The record is from RNAcentral. Lineage: Eukaryota; Metazoa; Chordata; Mammalia; Primates; Hominidae.